Molecule: ribosomal RNA, 253 nt
Filed under: uncultured bacterium
Lineage: Bacteria
Description: partial 16S ribosomal RNA
Rfam family: Bacterial small subunit ribosomal RNA
Source: RNAcentral
UACGUAGGGUGCGAGCGUUGUCCGGAAUCAUUGGGCGUAAAGCGCGUGUAGGCGGUUCGAUAAGUCGGCUGUGAAAGUCCAGGGCUCAACCCUGGGAUGCCGGUCGAAACUGUCGGACUAGAGUUCGGAAGAGGCGAGUGGAAUUCCCGGUGUAGCGGUGAAAUGCGCAGAUAUCGGGAGGAACACCAAUGGCGAAGGCAGCUCGCUGGGACGUUACUGACGCUGAGACGCGAAAGCGUGGGGAGCAAACAGG